Molecule: transfer RNA, 76 nt
Filed under: Fasciola hepatica (liver fluke)
Lineage: Eukaryota; Metazoa; Platyhelminthes; Trematoda; Plagiorchiida; Fasciolidae
Description: tRNA-Lys
Source: RNAcentral
CCGGCGGUGGUCAAAUGGUCAUCAUGGCGGGGCUUUUAACUCCUCUGUCACGGGUUCGAAUCCUGCUUUCGCCGGC